This 31044-nucleotide long non-coding RNA is filed under the name Malus domestica (apple). Its description in RNAcentral is "long non-coding RNA (MDOM_LNC001591)". Lineage: Eukaryota; Viridiplantae; Streptophyta; Magnoliopsida; Rosales; Rosaceae. The record is from RNAcentral.
AAAAAGGUUCAAUGGUGGAGCUUGUACAAAAGAUACAAAUACGCCAACAAGCUGAUUGAAUGGGAUGAAUCUCUUCAACGACUUUUGGAAAUACUAAACGUUCAGGGAAUAAGGGAUAUGAAGGACAGCUCCCUUUCGGUGAGGAAUAUAGAGAAUGUGCUCAGCAGAAUUGAAUCGAAUAUGGUGAUACCAAAACAACCCGACAGUGAAGCUUGGUGUGCCGUACCUCAACUUCCGCCGCUUGUGGUUGGAUUGGAUUUUCCUCUAAAGGAGCUGAAGAUGAAGCUUCUAAAGGACAAAAAUGUUUCAAUGGUUGUGCUGACUGCUCCCGGAGGAUGUGGGAAAACCACUUUGGCUACAAAGUUUUGUCAAGACAAGGAUAUCAAAGGUAUCGAUCAUAUAUUUAUAAGUUAGAACUCAGAAUUCUGUAUGUUUUUAACUUUGUACAACUAUGGCAGAUUUAAAUGAUGCCUCAAUGACAGAUUUAUUAUUUUUUCUUUGGAUAGAUACAUUCAAGGAUAAUAUCUUCUUCGUCACAGUUUCAAAAAAGCCUAAAUUGGAAAAUAUUGUUCAAGAUCUAUAUCAACGCAAGGGUUUCCCGGCAUCUACUUUCGAAAACGAAGUCAGUGCAGUGAUGUUGCUGCAACGUUUUCUGAAGGAAGAAGGGCAGAAUCCUUUCCUGAUUGUCCUGGAUGAUGUUUGGUCUGGAUCAGAAUCCCUUGUGGAGAAGUUUGAUCAAUUCAAAACAGAAAAUCACAAGGUUUUGGUAACAUCUAGGUCUGAAUUUCGGGGAUAUGGUUUCCCUUGUCAUUUGCAAUCAUUGGAUCAUGACAAUGCGAUGAAACUUUUUCAUCAUUCAGCAUCCCUUGGAGAUAAGAGCUCUCAUAUUCCAAAAGAUCUUCCAGAAAAGGUACUUUUUAGUUGCAGUGCACAAAAAUGUAUAGUCAAAAGUUAGUUGACUUGGUUUUGGAAAAUUAUCAAGAUAUUAUGUUCACUUUACCAUAUAAACCUGUGAGUAAUCAUGCAUUUGAGCAUACUUGUGGCCUAAAACUAAAAUUAGAUUUAUGUAGAUGGUUAUUUUGCCUUUUUCUCAUCUCCAUAACUUGAAUUUUGGCUUUGCAACUAAAAAGGUAGUUUACUUUGUUUUGGAAAAUUUUCCUGCAGAUAGUUGAGCGUUGCAAGGGAUUUCCACUUGCGAUUACAGUGGUGGGGAAAUCGCUUUGCGGGAAGCCUAUAGAGAUAUGGCAAAAAAGAGUAAUUGAAUGGUCUAAAGGUUUUUCUAUUCUUGAUUCAGAGACUGAAUUGCUUUUGUGCCUGGAACGAAGCUUGGAUGCCUUGGAUAAAGAAAUGGUUGGCAUCAAGGAAUGUUUCUUAGACUUAGGUUCAUUUCCGGAAGACCAAAGAAUCCCAGCUGCUGCCCUCAUUGAUAUCUGGGCAGAGUUAUAUGAUGUAGAUACAGAUAUAAAGUGCAUUGCAAACCUCUACGAGCUAACCACACGAAGUCUAGCUAAUCUUGUUGUUACAAGGUGUGCAUGCUUUGUUUUCUCUUGUAUAAUAUUUUCGCUCUAUUUUCCCCUUUAUAUUCACGACUGGUUGAUGCUAAUAACUUGUUAUUGCAAUAUGUUGGUUGAAGAAUCUCUUCUAAGAAAAUUAGUUUUGAUCAUCACCAGGAAGGACAAGAUGGAGGGGGACGGGUACUAUAGUGAGCACUUUGUUACCCAACAUGAUGUUCUUCGGGAGCUGGCUAUAUACAACACAAAAAAAGGACCGGUGGAACAUAGAAAAAGACUGAUUAUUGACAUAUGUGGAGACAAUCUUCCAAAAUGGUGGAGAGAACAGAAGCAUCAGCCUAUGAAGGCCCGCUUAUUAUCCAUAACAACUGGUUGUUCCAUCUCUCCCUUUCUCUUUAGCAAUUGCGUAGACAUGCACAAAUAACUAGUCAUUCUUGCACACGGUCGCAUGCGCACACAUUAAUACUUUCAUUUUAGUUUCCCCUCCUCACACUUACAGUUGUUACUUUGCAGAUGAAUGGUUUUCAACAAAAUGGCACGACAUGCAAAUGCCAGAAGUUGAGGUUUUGGUGUUGAAUUUCCAGACAAAGAACUAUGCCUUACCCGAAUCCGUGGUGAACAUGGAUGAAUUGAAGGUUGUGAUAGUCACAAAUUAUGGUUUCUUACCGGCUGAAUUAAGUAACUUCCAACUUUUGAGUUUGUUACCAAAUCUUAGGAGAAUCAGAUUAGAACGCAUCUCAAUUCCUUCAAUAACCAAGAAUCUCAUACAAUUGGCGAGUCUGAAGAAGAUAUCCUUGUUCAUGUGUAACAUUGGUCAAGCUUUCAACAACUGUUCCAACCAAAUCUCGUCAGCAUUCCCAAAUCUAGAGGAAAUGAACAUCGACUAUUGCAGUGAUUUAAUUGAAUUGCCCGCAGAGGUUUGUGAUCUUAGUAAACUAGGGAAGCUCAGUGUCACUAACUGCCAUAAGUUAUCUGCCUUGCCUGAAGGGAUUGGAAAGUUGGAAAAUUUAGAACUGUUGAGGCUAAGAUCGUGCGCUGAACUGUCGAAGCUUCCAACCUCAAUGAAGAACCUUGGAAAGGUAAACUUUCUUGAUAUAUCUGAUUGCUUCAGCAUCAAGGUGUUGCCCGAAGACAUUGGUGAAAUGAGUAGUUUAAGAAGGAUCAACAUGAGGCAAUGCUUACGGUUGCAGGAGCUGCCUCCAUCAGUCGUGGAUCUUGAGCAGUUAGAGGAAGUGGUCUGUGAUGAGGAGACAAAAUAUUUAUGGGAAUCUUUCUUGUCGUGUCUCAACAACGUAAGGAUAAUUGUGGCCAAAGAGAAUAUCAACCUAAAUUGGCUCCACAAGACUCAGUUCUGAUAUAUGUGUAUCCUCAGUGAAGGUUGUUCUUUAAACUCUUUGGUUUGUGUUUUUAGUGGGGCUUAUGGAAACUCGACUGUAACAUAGUUUCAAAUUCAAUCGCUGUACAUUUGCUUGACUUUCUUGUUUGAAAAUCUGUAUGUGUAAUCCAACGCCACAAUCUGAUUCAUGUUCUCCCAAAAUAAAUUCAACGCCACAAGGUUGAAGAGUCCCAUAAAAUAAAGAACUUUCAUGUCACGGGAUCAGGUGUUAAUCUUGUUGUGGAUAAGUUUCUUUGGUAUUUAUAUUAAGGUCAAGUGGUCAAGUUUCCAGAACUGUUCAUAUAAUCGAGAUGUUGUUGAACCAUAUAUUUACCCAAAGAAAAUAUAUUAAUAAGAAAAAAGAGAAUCUCUACAACUCAUACACGCACGUGGACCUCGAUGUGUGACAAGUUUGAGUUCGUGUAUGUAUGGAACUCUCCCAAAACUCUCACGUUCUCCACUAGGUGAUGGCCUUCUCUCAACCUCUCUACAUCCUCGGAAAGUGGCACACGUAACAGAGUGGAUAAGGAUCUCUGAACUGCUCCUUGCGUCUAUAAAAUGACGAAGGCUAGAUUCAAAUAAAAGGAGGAGACUGACGACCAAGAGCUGAGAGAGGGUCAAGAGGGCAGCGGAGGAGAGAAGAACGAAAACUGCAAAAAUAGAAAGAGGCUUAACAGAAAGAGAAGAAAUGAGCAAAGGGCUGUAAUUACGCAGAACUUUCACGAGGAAGAAGAAUCAAAGGUAAAAGUUUUAUUCUUCUUUAUUAUUUAUUUCCUUACACUAAUCUCCACUUCAUGGCACGGGACCUUCGAAGCAAAGUUAGUUUCCUAGAUGCUCCUACAAGGAGAUGCUCCAGUGAAGGACCUCUCUCUAUAACAAAUCAAAAUGGUUCCAAUCCCUCUUUGCCCUAGAAGCAAUCUUCCGGAUCAAAGCCGCUGGGCAAGAAGAAAAACCAGAAGCAAUAACCCUUCUCCGCUAUCAAAGUGCUCUUCGAAAUUAGACUGACAAGGUUAGCUUUCCUGUGAUUGUAGCAGUUUGGCAUGCAAGAACAAAAAUGGUUCCUGCCACAAGAAAAGCACAGCAAUUCUUGCCUUUUUUUCGAAAGAACGUAUCCAAUUGGCAUAGAAGGAUGGUCGAAGUCUUCUCGUCAAGACUUUCUCGGCACAGCAUAUCUGCACGCAGACACAAAGGUGCCGGAAAGUAAACUCCUUCAAGGUGUUCAUCUUUAGCGGCUCAGAUCUACUCAUCAAUCAUUUUUUCGGCACAGCAUGUCUUCAUGUAGACACAAAGGUGCCGGAAAUUGAUCUUUACAGGGAAUGUCGAAACCUACUCGUCAAUAAUUUAUUCGGCAUAGCCUGUCUCUAUGUAGACACGGAGGUGCCGGAAAGUGAUCUUUAAGGGAAAAGUCUAAAUCUACUUGUCAAGAAUUUUCUCGGCACAACAUGUCUCCUAGUACACACGGAGGUGCUGGAAGGUGAUCUUUACAGGGAAUCAUGGACGAAGCCAAUGAAGGCUCACUGAGGGCAGAUGCUCCCACUCAAGUAAUUCAUUUGUUUAGUUGCAAACUACAAUUAUAUAAUAUACACAGGUUAUUUUUCAAGAAAAUAUAUGUAUCUAAUAUCUAACAUACAUUCAUUCUACUUAUACUCCAUAUCAAAUAUUAUAUGAGCAAUAGUGCUCUUGUUCUAUCAUUCAAACCGAAAAAAUCAUCUCCCGCCUAUCAUGUACUUAUAUUUUUCUCAUCACUUAGCCACUUUCCACUACUAUAUUGAAAUUUUUGUAACAUUGGAAUUGUGAUACAUCAUCAUUUGAAACCAUCCUUAAUAUCAUACUGUGUACAACCAUACUAUAAUAAAAUUUUCUUAGUUAUUUUUUGUUGCCCCCACUAGAAGAAAUUUUUGGCUUCAUCUCUACAGGGAAUGUCGAAAUCUACUUGUCAAAAAAAAAAAUUUCACCACAACAUGUCUCUAUGUAGAUACGGAGGUGCCAGAAAGUGAUCUUUACAAGAAAAGUCGAAAUCUACUCGUCAAAAAUGUUCUUGGCACAACUUGUCUCCACGUAGACACAGAAGUGCCGAAAAGUGAUCUUUACAGGAAAGGUCGAAAUCUGCUAAUCAAAGAAUUUCCAGCACAACAUGUCUAUAGGUGGAUGUGGAGGUGCUAGGAAAUUGACAUCUCUACACUAUGACAUUUGUACACUAACACCAGGGCCUGCCCAGGCCCAGUGCAGGUAGGGCUAGCAUUCGGGGUCCAAACAAAUUGGGGGCACCAAAAUGAUUAGGGUGAUAUAUUGAUAUAUGUUUUCAUAAGAGUAUAAAUUUAUAAAAUUUGGCUCAAUGAUAAAAAAAAUUAAUUAGAAGUGGUGGUAUUGUCAUUUGAAAUUAAUGAGGAGGUCACGGGUUCAAAACAUCAUAUGUGCUUAUUUACUUUUCAAUUUUUACAAAUUUCUUUUCAUAUAAGUAUAAAUUUAUAAAAUUUGGUUAAAUGAUCAAUAAGUUUAAUUAGAAGUUGUUGAUGCACAAAAUCUGGUGGAUCUUGGACCAACGUAAAUCCGGCCGUGAAUCACAUAAACGCACAAGAACACAAAGAUGUAUCGUGGUUCACCUCAAUGUUUGGGCUACGUCCACACUGAUGUUGAUUCCAUUUUACUGUAUGAAUGUAUAGAUUACAAUAGAUCGGCAAAUGAGCUCUCUGUGGAUGCAGCCCUUGCUAUUUUGCUCUCUAUGGAUGCAACCCUUGCCAUUUUGCUCUCUGUGGAUGCAGCCCUUGCCAUUUUGCUCUCUGCAAGGGAGCUCUAUUGUUGUGAGGGAUGUGAGACUCUCUUCUUUCUUCGCUCUUUGUGAAGGUGAGGACGAUCCCUUUUAUAGAGUAAGGGUGUCCUCCUCUUACAUAAAUCAUGGGCUCAAUAUCGAGGCCCAAUAUAUGGUACAACAGGAGUCCCCCAAGUCUUUAGUCAAGAGAGUCUUUUGGCUGGAGACUUUAAAUCCAAUCCAAGUACGAGCCGAAGUGGCUAGAUGUCGUCCAGAACUGGUACUUUACAUGAGACGAUACUUAACGUCAAGCAAGACUCAACUAGAGGUAGCACACGUUGCGAGGCUACUCGGCUAGAGGCGAUGCUUUCAGCGAGACGGUUACUCGGCUGGAGGCGGUGCUCGUUGCGAGGCGGCUCGGCUUGUGGCAUUCCUCGUUGUGAGUAUGCACUCAACGUCAGCGUGUGCUCAUUAUGAGUUGAUUCUUGAUAUGACUUUGGUCCACUUGUCGAGUUCGCAUAUUGGGUCUAUGUGCCAGAUCCUCGAAUCGGGUCCAUAAAUCGGGUCUUUGAGUCGGGGCCAUACGUAGGGUCAUCGAGUCGGGGCCAUCUAUAGGGUUUUUGAGUUGGGUCCGUGAGUCGAGGUUCGAGCUCAAGGGUGUCCAGGCACAUAAGUGUCCAAACAUGUGAGUGUUCGAGCAAGUGGGUGUCCGAUCAGACAAGAGAUCACCGUUCAAACUAAAUCUUUGUCACCAUAAGCAUGUGGCUUAUCAGUCUAUAAGUUGGUAAGCUUCUUUAAUCAUUGGCAAUGUUGAUCAACAGAGCUAGUUGCUCAAUAAUUCCUGACAAUAAAUGACAGUAUAAGUACAAACGUAUAAUGAAUAAAUCAAAUUAACAUAGUUUGGUAAUGCAAAAUAUUGUACCAUGUGCCUACUACAAAUAAAUAAUUUAUUAAGUUGUGUAGUAAAUCACAUGUUGCAUAAGUGACAUAGUUAAUGAGCAGUCAUUGAAUCACUCGGCAAUGAAUAAAUAUUUACACAAGUAAGUGAAAUAUGAGCCAGUACAUGUGAUAAUUAUGAGGUGAAUACCACAAAAUGAAAGGAUGUGAUGUCUGAUUAUGUCACAUGGCAUAGGAAUAGUGAUGUGCCGAAAGACUAUCAGCAUUAUAAUAAAAUAUUUAAACACACAUAUUUGUAUUGUGUAGUGUGCAUAAGCCUGUGAUACAUCACCACAACUUUAAAUAAUAAAACUUUGUGUGAUGUGCUUUGCCACGUUAUUGAUAGUGAUCAUGUGAUAAAUAUCACAAAAUAAUAAAAUAAUAAAUAAAUAAUUUGAGAAAACAUGAUGUAAAAAGUAAAGCUUUUUUUUUUUUUUUUCUUUUGGCAGAUGGCAGACAAAGGAAAAGUAAAGCUUUUUUCUUUUCGCAGAUGGCAGACAAUACCAAAAGGGAAUAAUAAUAGAAUUAUUAUGAGAAAGCUUAUUUUCUUCCUCUCUACUGUCGGUCUGGUUGAAGGUUAUGGCUUCCUUUGAUUACUUUUGGGUUGACAUUUCUGACGGAUUAAAAAAUCAAAAUCAAAUAAUAAAAAUCUAACUUGUUUUGGAAGAUGGAAAUAUGUCAGUGGUGUUGAACUUUCGGUCGCCGCCGUCUUCGGUGGUGGCUAAUAGGAGGAGUUUACCACCGAGCUUGGGCGAGGGCGAGGGCCUGGACUUGGGCGAGAGUGCUGACUCUAGAGAUGCAGAAGCGGAGGUCGAAGGUGAUGACGGCCUCCAAGAUCUCACUGUACUUGUCGAAGUGCUCUCUCAAGGCCUCUUUGGGAAUCUCCCACGCCAACCCUCCGACAAAGACUUUGGUUAGUGUGGUGUCACCAAAUACUAGGAGUAGUUUGGCUCUGAGAAGCAGCACCAUAAGGGAUGCAGCAAGACAUGCAUACUGAGGUCGUGCCUGUAUUGGAUCGGAUGGUGGAGAUGAGCUGCAACGGCUGCCGAGUGCUCCGGAAGGGAUGCAGCGACACAUGCAUACUGAGGUCGUGUCUGUACUGGAUCGACUCUCCCGAAGCCCAAGGCAACGCCACCUUGUUCCUCGCCAAGUUCUUUAGCCACAAUGAUCUCCUCUCAUUCGUCUUCGUCGUACCGGAAAACCAACGCCCCGGUAAACAACCAAUUAAUUAAUUAAACAAUAUUGCAAUAAUUUUACACGAUUAAUAUUUGCCAUUAAUUAAUCCAUAUUUUCCUUUUUCUCGAUCAGCUAUGUUUCAGUCUCUGCUGUUCGAAGCGUGCGGCCGCAUGGUGAACCCGGUGAACGGAGCGGUGGGGCUUCUGUCGAGUGGGAACUAGCACGUGUGCCAGUUGGCGGUCGAUACGGUGCUGUCCAGCGACGCUUUGAGGCCAUUACCGGCUUUUACUAUGCCUGCCUUCGACGAGUCUUCGAACGCGUUUAGCAGAGAAGCAUGCACGCCGAAAAAUCGCUACUGUCCGUCGGCGUCGGCAUACUACGACGUGGAGCGAAUUUAGCCGUUCGAGGAGGCGGGGCUCUCUCUGAGGCCGAAUCUCGUGGCGGCGGAGAGAGGAAGAGGGAGGGGAAUGUGGAUCUGCGUAAGUGCCUCGAUGGAUCAGCGACGGAGGGAUACAAUGUCGUUUGAUUCGGAGGAGUCGAUGAUGACUACGACAACGACGAAGACCUUUGAAAGCAGUGGCGGUAAUCUGAAGGAUCGCAAGCUUCUGAACCUUUUUGUCUAAGUACUAUUAACCUAUGAGAGAGAAAUUUAUGAGAGAGAGAGAGGUGGUUGGAAGUAUGUGAAGGUUUUCUGGAAAAGCCCAAAAAGUGAGGUUUUUGGGUUCUUGGGUUGUGCAGAUUCACGGUGGAUAGAUGAAAAAAAUGAAAGAGAACCGACAUGGUUUUUCGUGUCGUUUCCCACAGACGGCGCCAAAUGUUGAUGCACAAAAUCUAGUAGAUCUUGGACCAACGUAAAUCCAGUCGUGAAUCACACAAACGCAGAAGAACACAAAGAUGUAUCUUGGUUCACCCCAAUGUUUGGGCUACAUCCACACUGAUGUUGAUUCCAUUUCACUAUAUGAAUGUAUGAAUUACAAUAAAUCGACAAGGGAGCUCUCUGUGGAUGCAACCCUUGCCAUUUUGCUCUAUGUUUGGCUGAAAGGGUAUUGCCCUCUAUUGUUGUGAGGGAUGUGAGACUUUCUUCUUUCUUCGCUCUUUGUGAAGGUGAGGAUGAUCCCUUUUAUAGAGUAAGGGUUUCCUCCUCUUACAUAAAUCAUGAGCUCAAUAUCGAGGCCUAAUAUAUGGUACAACAAAAGCAAUGGUUUUUAUUGUUUAAAAUUAAGGAGAGGUCCUAAGUAGGGGUGGUUCGGUAUGGGAUCCCAUACCGAAACCCUUGUCUCGAUUCCCAUACCGAAAUUUUCGGGAAUCCCAAUUUCAAUACCGAUCCCAAACCAAAUUUUCGGGAAUCCCAAUUUUCGGGAAUCCCGAAAUAGUUUCGGGAUUUCGGGACAAAUCGGGAAUCCCGAAAUAAUUUUGGGCUUUUGGGCUUUUGGGCUUUUGGACAAAAAAAAGCUAAUAUUGGUCCAAUUGGACAAAAACCUAAUAUUGGGCCAUGCCCAUUGAAUGUAAUAGCCCCAUAUGGGCUUAACUUGAUUCAAUCAAAUAAAAAAAUUAUUGGGAUAAUUGAUGUUGGCCCGGGUCUGCCAAUUUGUGUUGUUAUGAAAAUGUAGGGUUCACAAAGUUUUGGGUAACAUCAAUAUGUGUUGUUAGGACAAAAGCCUAUGAAAAUGUAAUUUACCCUAUUCAAAAGCAAUCUGCCAAUUGCCAAUCUGUGCACAAUUGCAUAUGCCUAUUCAAGUUCUACUACACAUGCAUGCAAUAAAAAUAAAUUAAGUACCAAAUCCAAAAGCAAAAAUAUUAGUUACAAGCCAAGGUUUUAAAAUAAAUAAAGUAACAAACCCAAAAGCAAAAAAAUUAGUUACAAUCCAAAGUUUUAAUAAUUAAGUUACAAACCAAAAGCAAAAAAACAAAGUUUCAAGUUUAUGAAGAUUGUUGACUUCUUCGGCCCCUUCGGCCCUUCUUGUUGGCACUUGUAAUUUUCCCCUUGAUAUUGAUGGUUGAGCCCUUCCCCUUACAAUGGGUGGUCGUGGUCAUGGAGGUAGUGAUUGAUUUUGACGUUGUUGAACUUGUACUUGAGGUGGUCGAGGAGAUGGAGGUGGCAUUUCAUUUUCUUGUGUUGUAUUCUCCUCACCUCCCAAAUUAGCCAUGUCUAAAACAAUAAACCACAAAUCAUUUACAUUAAAUUAUAGUCUAAUAGAUAAUAAAUACUAAAAAAAUAAAAGAUGAAAUUAAAUUGUUUACUUACUUCUUUCUAAGCGUUCAAGCUCCUCGUAGAAACAUAAUUCGUCAAGGGUAGGCUCCUUGUAGAAACAAAAUUCUUUUCCUCUAAGCCAAUCACUAGUACACACUAAAGCCUCAACCGUUUUAGGUGUUAAGGAAGCUCUAAAAGGAUCAACAACUUUCCCACCAAGACUAAAGGCAUUCUCACUAGCAACGGUGCUACUAGGAAGGGCCAAUACAUCCUUAGCAACUUUACUAAGAAUUGGAUAUUGACCACAAUUUCCUUUCCACCAAUCCAAAAGAUUGAAACCCUUAUAUGUUAGGCUUUGAUGUGGAUCAUUGAAGUACAUAUCCACUUCAUUGGCUAUCUCAUUUUGUUGUGCCUCCGCUCUCUUUCUUUGGAUCUUCUUUGCCAUCCUUGAAGCAACAUCAAUAUCUACCAUCACACCCCCCCGCCCCAUCAUCUAGUACAACACUUGAUCUUUGCUCCACAUUUGAGGUAGCACUACUACUAGUACUACUACCACUACUACUACUAAGGACCACUCCCUCCUUAUAUGCAUUAUACAACUCGGUUACAUAACCUUUAACCCUUACUUUCUCCUCCCUUAUUUUGUCACAUCCAUAGCCGAGCUCUUCUAGAUUUGUCUCUAACAUAUCAAAUUUGUACCUCGGGUCGAGUGAUUGGGCCACAAAGAGAAUAUGAUUCACCUUUUCAAUGUCACCCCAAUAUUUGUCAAACUUGAGCUUCAUUGAGGUAGCCACACUUUGCAAAGUGGAAUUAGAGGCAUUUGAAAUUUGUUCUUCUAUCUCCACUUGCAAGGCAAUCACCGUGCUAAGUAUUAAGUGUGACGUUGGAGUAAGGGUUGUACUCAAUGUCAAGGUGGCAUCAUAAAUUUUUUUGAGAAAGUGAGCAAAACUCACCGACCUUUCCCAAUCAUCCACCUCCGGAUGACCCACCCGCUUAGCCUUUCUUGUCACCCCAUCAACCUCUUUUGAGACCUCCUCUUUAAAGUAAGCAAUAAAAGAGUCACACUCAAAGGCCAUCUUAGAGAACACUUCUUUAAACUUGAAAGCACUAUUAAGCAUUUGAUAUGUGGCAUUCCACCUUGUGACAACAUCAAAAGGGAUACUUGACAUCCUAUCAAAUCUCAACAAGACACAAUAUUCCCUAAAAGACUCCAACCUUGCCGGGGAUGAGUGUAUAAACUUCACACAAUUUCUUAUGGCAUCAAUCUCCCUACUAAGCUCCGUCAUUCCAUCCUUAACUAUCAAAUUAAGGAUGUGACAAGCGCACCUCAUGUGCAAGUGAGCCCCAUCAAGUAAAAGAGUACCAUUUGACUUGAGUCUUCUUUUCAUGUAUGCAAUAGCGGUGUCAUUUGCACUAGCAUUGUCAACGGUAAUGCUAAACACCUUGUCUAUGCCCCAAUCAUUCAAGCAAACCUCUAGACAUCUUCCAAUAUCAUCACCCUUAUGAGAAGUAACUUGGACAAAGUUUAGGAUCCUCUUAUGUAACCCCCAAUUAGUGUCCAAAAAAUGAGUCGUGAUGACCAUGUAGUUUAUCAUUUGAAUUGAGGUCCAAGUGUCGGUUGUAAUACUCACUCUCAACCCCUCAAUCACACUUUUUAUUUUUGCCUUCUCUUCAUCAUACAACUCCAAAACCGCCGCCGCCACCUUAUGCCUAUUAGGAAGUUUGUACUUUGGAUUCAAGUCACGAAUAAAAUCUCGAAAGUCCUCUUGAUUAACCACCCUAAAAGGCAUCUCUGCUAUUAUAAUCCACCUCACACAUCUCCUAUCAAGUCUUUUUUUAUUGAAAGUGUGAGUGACAACCGGACCUCCCAUCCUCGCUUGUGUCAAUGUAGGUUGGUUCGGAUCUACAUUCUCAAAGAGACUAGAACCCGGACAUUUCCUCAAAUGCUUAAGAAUUCCCGUUGUCCCAUGAGUUAUAGGGUGUGCCGGUACUAAGAGUUUGCAAUGUUUGCAUUCGGCCAUGUAAGAUUUCUCCCCAUUAUUAUCGGUGAUCGUUACCCUCUUAGCAUCAUUCCACACCGGACUUUGACCCUUUCUCCUAUUGCCCUUUUUCCGAGGAGGACCAUCCCAUUGUCUCACUACUUCUACUUCUUCUACUUCUUCUUCCCCAUCUUCUUCUAUCUGUUCUAAUGCAAUAUCCUCCUCCACAUCCGGAUCAUCAUCCCAACAAUCUUCAUAAUAAUCAUUAUGCAAAUAAUCUUGAGGUGAGGGAGUGCCUAGUUGAAGGGUACCACUAGGUUGGGUUUGUUUUCGCUUUCCUAAUACCGAGACCAUAUGUGUACUGGCUACUAGAUCCGUCCAUCCUACAAAUAAAAUAACAAUGCACAUUAAUAUAUCACAACCACAGUUCAGCAUAUAUCCAAAUUCCAAACAAUAAAUAAAAUCAAUGGUUCAAAAAUCUGAGCAUUCAACAUAGAAGUAUCGUGUAUUUGAAUUUAAACUAGGAAGCAAAUAAAAACCAGCUCGUUUCUAAACUAGGAGAAUAUAAGUAGCCCCACCCCCACAAAGAUAAUACAAACAUGAAAGUUGGAACCUACAAACAAGAGUUUUCAACACUUGUAGCGCUUGUAUGCUAAACCUUUAAAAGUUGCUCGAGAAUAAAUGAUUCAAGAAAAACAACCUGAAGAAUAAUAAUUCAAGAAAAUAAUUAGUAGAGAAUCAUAGUAGACUAACAUGCUUAACAUAUAUUGUGUUUUCAAACCAAUAUGGACAAUGCUUAACAUGCUUCAUGGAAUACUCAUCAUGCAAGUCUGUUGUGGUCUGUUGUGGUCUUACAGACAGUUUUCUAGGACUCGGACAAUUGAUGAACUGCAUAUGCUUAAAGGUUUCAUGGACUCGGACAAUUGAUGCAAUAUCACAGUAGUCGGCAAGGCCAAAGAGGCCAUUACGACGAGAGACCAAAACACAAAACAUCACCGUCCACUCAAAUUGGAAUAACGAUUGAUGCUGGCAUAGGUAGUGUGAGAUACUCGAGAGAACAAAUUCCAAACAAUUAAGCAAUGUUGAUGUUGCAAAAAUAGUAUCAAUCUUACUGCCAUAGUUCAAAACCCGGUUCGGCCUUGGGAGGGAUCAGAUAAGCAUUCCACGCAGAAGAAAUGGAUUGACAUUUAGUAGUAAACAAUACCGGCACCAACAAUCUCAGACAUGCUUGCAUUUACAAAUACAAUUAAAAUAUCACAACAAACAAAUGAGAGCACAAUGAUGAAGGACAAUGCACAACAAUGGCACUUGGUACCAUGAUAAUCUCAGGGGUUUAACAAAAUGUGGGAUAGUUCCAGGAGAAAAUUUGCAUAAUCCGUAUCCAUACUCGGCAAACAGGCAAAAACAAAAAGGAGAAAUUGAUUGGAUGAAAAACUAAGCGCAAUUUUGACACAAACAUCAAGUUUAAAUUCAAAACUAGAGAAACAAUCACAGGGGUCAUCAGAUAGGAGUGAAAGACAUGAAAUUUGCUUAAUCACAAAGAUUCAGUUGAACUAUUGCCUCAUGUCGCAAGAUAUUGAAUAACAAGUGCUAUAAGCCUAUAAAGGUCAGGGCCGUAACCCUCGAAUCAAUGCUCACUAGAAAACGACAACAGACUUGCCUAAAUUCUGUGAAGAGACAAAAUCGCAAAAGAAAAGAGAAAGAGCGAGAGGUGUGUGUGUGACAGUGAGAUAGAGAGAUUUCAGAAAACUAAAUUAAUUACCUAAUUUCAGAAAACCAAGUGAGACCGUGAGAGAGAUCCCCAGUUCUGUCCGUGAAAGAGAACCCUCGAAUCAAUGCAGUUCUGUGACCGUGUGAGAGAGAGAGAUCGCGAGAGAGAGUGGUGGUUGUGUGGUGAAGGAAGGUUGGAGAGUCAGAGACGAGAGUAUGGUGUGGUGGUGGGCCGGUGGCUGGUCGGAAUUCGACAGUCUGGUGAGGGACGACGUUGGUGAGGGCCGGAGGCUAAGGGUCAGGGCUGCAAUUCGAAACAAAUGAACGGAGGAACUGAAAUGUGAUCUGACCUAAAAACAAAUCAACGGCACAGAUUAAAUCUAAAACAAUCAACGGUUGAAAUAAUUCUCUUAUAAUUAAAAAAUUAUAUAUAUAUAUAUAUUUUUUCUUUUUCGGUUCGGUAUGGGAAUACCGAAAAAAUGAAAUGCAAUACCGAAUCCCAUACCGAAACUUUCGGUUUGGUUUGGGAUUACAUCCCGAAAAUUUCGGGAAUUUUGGUUUGGGAUCGGGAUUUUUGGUUUGGUUUGGGAUUUUUGGGAUUUUUUUCCAGCCCUAGUCCUAAGUUCAAAAUGCUAUGUGCGUGUUUAUUCUUUUCAAUUUUUAUUUGGUUGUAACAAAUUAGUCUUUCUGUGUUUUUAAAUUAUUGAUUUUGAAGUGAUUUUCUAAGUACAAUUUUAUCGAUGUCUUACGUGUGAAAAUAAAUAAUUUUCUUAUUUAUGGCACAUUUUUUAGCGUCGUCCCCAGUCUCAAAAAUCUCUGCAUCUCGUGAAAAUAAAUAAUGUCUUACGUGAAGAAAGUAUGAAGACCACAAAUGUUUUGAAUACUGCAUCUCGUAUAAAACAAGGAAGCAGUAGCCAAAUGACGAUGUCAUCGCCAAUCCCCACUAUAGCAACAGGGAGCAUCAGUCCCCACUGCAUCACGUUCGAUUCCAAACGUCAACGGCGGAAUGUUCUUCUCUAAAUCACCAAUUGUGCAGAAGAAAUGACGUCUAGAUCCUUCCCACCAAAUACCAAGAUGAGCCGAAGUGGGCUCUCACUGGAACAGAUGAAGAAAAGACAAUGAAAUUGUUUGCUGUAGGUUGCUACCUUCAAAGCUAUCUAAUUCAGGGAUUAAAAAUGCUAAGAGGCGAUCUGUAACAAAGAAUAGGGAUGGAGGUCCUCAUGUUCACAUGGUCCUAGCUCUGGCAAACGGGUCAUGUUUGUCAUGUUCGUGUUGUUUUCGUGUAACACUUGUUAUCUUAAAGGAUCGUGUUGUGUCACACCCGUUAUCUUAACGGGUCCUUAAUAGGUUGGGUCACCAUUAUGACCAGUUAAGAAAAAUAUAUUUUUUUUUCUUAAAUUUACACAUACCACACAUUGCCACAUAAAAUAUUACUUCAAAACAUUAAAACACAUUUGUCGUUUAAGUGCUACAUCUACACUCGAAAAUAAGAGCCUAAUAAAAAAACAUUCAUACACUAGUCUAUUACAAAAUAUUAAAUGUGCAAGGAUAUGCAAAAUGAAAGAAUUUUUGUUUUCGAGGUUGUGAAGCCUUUCUCAAAAGUUUAAACCUUGCCAAUGGAACUCAAAGCUUACAUGUUAUUCCUUUUACAAAAUCCUUAAUUUUCAUCAAUCAUCAUGAGGAAAUUGUAUUGGAACUUUGGGUUGAUCUAUUGCUUUCAAGAGUUAUGUUGAUGAUGUUUUCAGUAAGGUUUUCUACGUCAAAAUUCUUUUUCGCAUAAACUAAGUAUAGAAAAACCGAACAUUAAAAACCAUUCAAAUUAUGAAAAGUUUACUAAAAUAAUUAUGAAAAGAAAUAAAAAAUAGUACUAUACCAUAUAAAAAUAUAUUAGCCUCCAACCUAAUGAACAAUGGAUGGCUGAGAUUAAAUCUCAGCCGAUCCAAUGGUCACCAAUUUUAUAAAAUUUAAAUUAAUAUAUAUAACUAUUAGAGUUUGUAAGGGUAUAAAAUUGUUAAAUUAAUAUAUAUAAUUAUUAUAUUAUUUUUUUAGGGUUAUAAAAUUAUAAAAUUAAUAUUUUGCUUAUCGUGUAUCGUGUUACCCACGUGUAUACUCGAACCAACCCGUUAUUUUAACAGGUGCUUAUCGGGUUACCUAAUAAUGACCCAAUUCGUUAUCGUAUUGACCCGAACACCUGUUAAUUUCGUGUUGGGUUAUCUGGUCGUGUCAGGAAUUGUCAGGCCGUGGUCCCCAACAACCCAGGUCCUAUCUGCAGAGUGCUUAGGUCAUCUCAAAUGAAGAGGGCUAAAUGUUCAAAAGGUAAAAAAUGUCUUGAUUUAUUCAAAAUAUCAUCUUCAACCGAUGACUGGACUAAACUCUAUGAAGUCCACCAUACCAUUAUUUGGUCAAAGGAGCAUCAGGCUGGCCAAACGUAGCCCCCUUUUAGCCCUUUUUUUGGAGCCUAGCUUCUCAGUUACAAUAAUUGAUUCAAAUUCAACGACUAUAUCUGAAAACAUCUAACAUUAGUUUAAUUAAAUUAACUAAUAAAGCUAAAGUAUAAACUUAAAACUAAUAAAUAAUUGAGAAGCUAUGUUUAGUGUCUUGAGUUUGAGAUGAUAUAUGAAUAUGACCUGACAUUAUUUAUUUAAAUUUUUUUUUUACAGACUACAAUUUUGGACAAAAUUAGGUUUGAUUUUUUCGGUUAGAAAUGACCUUAGGCACUCAAAAGUCUAAUGUAUACCGCAAGCGUGAUCUCUCAAAAAGAAAAAGGGAGAAUCCAAAUAGCCUUAGAGCUUAAGGAGGGGUUUAUUUGAAAUCAAAAUUUUUUAUCCCUCUUUGAUGCCGUGGCAAGUAUGCAAGGAAACAAAAUUCCUUGCGGCAAAAUAAAAGCAUACCAAUUAGGAUUCAAUAUGAUCAAAGAAUGCCUUUGCCGCAUCUCCAAAUAAAUAGCUAAAAGAUGUUUAUUUUGUCUGCCAUGUGAAGUCAAAGUCCAAGUUCACAGAGAAGAGAAAAAAAAAAAAACUAAAGAAAAAUGUUUGAAAACUUUGAGUUUUAACAAUAAAAAUAAAAUAAAGAGUAAAUUGACCAGUACCAAGAUUAACUUUUUAGUGUCAAAAUAUGAGUUUUCAUUAAAGUAAACAAUACCAGAAGUUUUUCAUUAAAAUUCUCAAAAAAAAAAGGGUGUGAUUUCCAUACACUCCAUUUUACUUCUCACACACAUUUUGAAUUUUCGGUUGUUGGAUUUGAAGAAUAAAAAAUGAUUAACUAAAAAAAUUAUUAAGAAAUGUGUGAGAAGUAUAAUAAAAUGUGUGUAUAGCAUAGUAAAAAAAAAACUUGCCGACAACCUCCCAAAUUAAUUGGGAAAGAUACUCACGUGGCAACCUUUAAUAAAAAAAGGGCCACAGCUCUCAAAUUUGAAUUCAUGUGGUUUCUUUUAUAACUUUGGGCCUACCCUUUCCUAGAGGCUGUAAAUUUUGCAAGAAGAAGAAAGAAGUCUGCAAUAAAGUUCCCAAUUUUAUGGGGAAUGCUGCUCCCAUGGGAUAUUGCCCCACUCUAUGACACAAAGAUGCAUCAAAUUUCAAACGGCACAAAGCCUUUUCAAAUUUUAAAUGGGACAAAACGGAUUUAAAUUUCAAAUGGCACAAAAGCCGUAUCAAAUCUUAAAUAGAACAAAGUUGUUCCAAAUGACACAAAGUUCUUUACCUACACGAUUUAAAACUGCAAGGCACCAAAUCCAAACCAAAAUACUUUUUUUUUUAGUGGGUCAUUUACUCAUUAGAAAUAAUGAACUACGUUGGUUUGAUUCUACCAAGGAUACAUAGGCAAUCUAGAUAUUCAAUCCAAAUGCAAUUGUACAAAGACAAAAACUCAAAAUCGAAUCCAUGGUUCAUCUCAACCAAAUUCACCGUAAAAUCCAAAUCGAGUCCCUGGUUCAUCUCAACCAAAUUAACCACAAAGUCCAAAUCGAAUCUCUGGUUUAUUCAACCAAAUUCACUCAAAUAAAUUUUAAGUAUUCAAAUAAACAAACACAAAACCUUUUUUAGUGGGUCAUUCACUCUCUGAAAAUCCCAAACCAAAUCAUCCAAGAACAACGAGUGGCUUGAUCCCUCCAAAAAAUCACGUAGGUAAUCUAGGGCUUGACCUAAGUGCAACCGCAAAACCAAACAAACACCCAAAUCCCAAAGUUACGAUUUAUUCAUAUUGGAAUCAAAGGGUUUUUUUUUUUUUUUUUUUUUGAUGAAGGAUUGUAAUUAAUAGAUGCAUAGUCUAGAAUGGGCUAAAAUUAAUAAAACUCUCUUCGGAAAAAUGAACGAAGGUAAGAUUAUGUUUAGUGAAUUAUUUGUUACAUCUCUUGUCCAAUUUUUCUCAACAGAUGCAUUACCAAAUCUAAAGAAUUGAUUGGUUAUUAUUGACUAGUGCGAUUAAUCGGUCUCAAACUAUGUUUUCCAACAAAUACAGCUUGAUUAAUCUCGUUCAAUGUUAAUGGUUGCAACAAAAAGAAAGGGUCAUAUUUUCUCUUUUGGUUACAAGAACGGGCCAUAUUUUCUUCCUUUUAAAAGUUGUUCUGAUGAUAUAUUUAAGAAAAACAAACAAUAGGCUUUUCACAUAGAAGUCAUUGACAAAGUAGAUAAUAAAUAACAUUAUACAUUUGAAGAAAAUACACAAACUCAAUACUUCAGAAAAUGAACAACAUCUAUUAUACGUUAGAUAAAAAAAUACAAAUUUAAUACUUUGUAAUGGAAGAACGGCACAAUAGAAAUUUCACAACUAAAAAUUAUUAGAGCAUGUCAAUACUUUAAAAAAAAAAAACAGGGACUUGACUUUGUAAUGGGAAGGGCACAAAGAAAUAUCACAGCAAAAAAUCAAUUAAAGCGUGACAAAUAGGGAAAUGAGGGGUUCUUUUCUCUAAUCAAGCUCUUGAAGUAUUUUUGUAUAGAACUUAUAGUUUUGGAACAAAUAAUUGUACAUUAGAAAGGAUAGCUGAUAUUUUCAAUAAAAAUAAAGCUGAUUUUUAUUAAUCAAUGUUGAAGUUUUUGUGUAUAUUCUAUGAAGACAUAAGGGAAUAAUACUACAGUCUCCUCACAUAAAAUUCUCAGCUCUGUCAUUUUUCGUCAAUCUAUGAUUCACGCAAACGAGAAUUUGUCAAUGGAUGUAUGAUACACGUAAAUGAGAUCAAUUCAUAUGUGCAUUAAACAUACAGAGCUCAUGUGAGUAGAAAAGCAUAUAAUUUCCUUGCGUUUCCAUAACAUAUGCACACAAAAUUUCAUAUGUAUAAUUUCUCAUCUUCUAGUAUACCAAAAAGAAAGAGGAAAGUAACAUCUUCACAAUAAAUUUUCUUAACCAACUUACACUAGGCCUAUGAAUUCACUCGUAAUAAAAUUUGCACUAAAGAAAAAAUCAUCAUGCACUGUUCUAUAAUAAAUUAAACAAGGUUAAAAGGAGGACAAACUGGCUUUCUUUUAGAGCUAAUACCACUCUUUAGAAACUAUAUAUUUGAUCGCAUGAACAAUAAAGUCAUUGUACAAUUUAAAUUUAAAACUCAACAUUGAAAUUUUUAUGCAUAUUCUAUGAAAAAAUAAGGAAGUUAUACUAUUGUCUCCUCACAAGAAAAUGUCAACUUUGUCAUAUUUUGUGAGCUUGUAAUACACGCUAAAAUGGGAUGAAUUCGUCAAUGAACUAUUGAUACAUGUAAAUGAGAGAAAUUCGUAAGUCUAUUGAAAAUGAUGAAGCUCAUGUGAAUAGGUCAAACAUAUUUGUAAUCAUAUUAGCUAGAAUACAUAAGUUUCCCCUAACAACCAUUUUUGUGCAUAUUCUACGAAAAUAUAACAAAAUUAUAUGAUAUUUUCCUCACAGGAAAUUCUUAGCUUUGUCAUUUUUCGUUAACCCAUAAUUCAUGCAAACAGGGUCAAUUUAUCAAUGGACGUAUGAUACACAAAAGAGAUCAAUUCAUAAGUGCAUUGAACAUGACAACCCAUGUGAGUGGAGAAGUAUAUAAUUUCCUUAUGUUUUCAUAGCAAGUGCACAAAAAGUAUUAAUGUUGUUAAAUAAAUCUUAUAUGUAUUUAAGUAUAGUUUCUUAUCUUCUAGUAUACCAAAAGGAAACCAUAUAGUAGCAUUUUCACAAUAAAUUCUCUAACUUACACUAGACCUAUGAAUUCACUCGUAACAAAAUUUGAGCUAAAAGAAUCAUCUUGCACUACACACAAAUGAAAUAAAUAAGGUCAAAAGGAGGGCAAAGUGACUUUCUUUUAGCGCUAAUAAUAGUGUGAAUACAAAAUUUUCCUGAAACGAAAGAGACAAGAACAACGUGCACAAACAAAUAUUUGUAUUUGAUGAUUUUAGGGUUACAAUCUCUCUCAAAUUUGAUUUUCUGAUUCGAUCUCCGUAAGGUGUUGAUUUGUGGAUGUUUCGUUGAUCCAAGGGCCGUUGAGGCUUGAUCUUGGAUGAACUGUUGGAAGUUUCUUCAAGGGGCCGUGGGCUUGAUCUUUGAAGGUGGAUUUGAGCGGAUCUUCAAGGAGCCGUUGGGGCUUGAUCUUGAGGAUGAAUGUUUCUUCAAGGGCCGUUAAAGCUUGAUCUUGAAUAACGGUGAUGAACGGAUCUUCAAGGGCUUUUGGGCUUGAUCUUGAAAAACAAUGAUGAACGGAUCUUCAAGGGCUUUUGGGCUUGAUCUUGAAGAACGGUUGGAUGUAUGGAUUUGUCGACGUUUGUUGAUCCAAAGGGCCGUUGGGGCUUGAUCUUAGGAUGAACGGAUGAUGAACGAUGGUGCUUUCUUCAAGGGCAGUCGGGGCUUGAUCUUGAAUUGGUGGAAGUUCUUCAAGGGCUUUUGGGGCUUGAUCUUGAAUUGGUGGAUUGUUGAUCCAAGGGCCGUCGGGGCUUGAUCUUGGAAGAACGAUGAACGAAGAACGAAGAGAGCUUUCUUGAUUCUUCGGGAACCUGGAUGCUUGAGAGCUUCGGAGUUUCAGAGCUUCAGAGCUUCAAGAAUUUUGCCUAAUGAUUUUGGUUCCUCUAAAUGAAUGAAUUAGCCUUCUAUUUAUAGAAAUUUCCAAGGCUUAAUUUUGAAUAUAAUAUUCCAGAUGAAAUAAGUCGUUUCUGCCAAGUGUUGACACGUGUCAUGUUUGAUGACUUUUCCAACUUAUUUUGGUUUUUUGUUUAGACACACGCUACGUGUAAAAUUUAUGUAAUACAUGAGCGUUGAAACUUUGAUUUAUCGGUCAACAUUUAUUUACCGAAAUUUCGAUGUCUACAAAUAGUUCUUCUAAAAAUUAUAUAUUUGAUUGCAUGAACAAUAAAGUCAUUAUACGAUAUAAAUUUAAUAUUGUACAAUUUAAAUUUAAAACUAGUAAGAAAAUUAUACUUACAUGAUCUACAAGAUUUAUUAAUCAAUAUUGAAUAUUAUUGUGCAUAUUCCAUGAAAACAUAAUGAAAUAAAACUAUGGUCUCCUGUAUAAAAUUCUCAACUCUGUCAACUUUUAUGAGCUUGUGAUACACGCUAAAUGGGUGAAUUCUUCAAUAAACUUUUUUUUUGUGGGCAAACUGAACUUUUGAUACACGUAAAUGAGAUGUAUUCUUAAAUUUACUAAAAAUGACGAAGUUCAUGUGAGUACACAUGAGCAUGUUAGAAUACAGUUUCCUUGAUAAAUAAGCUUUUAUAUGUGUACAAGUAUAAUAUUUUCUCCCUUAAACAGAGGGCAAUUUUGUCAUUUUAUGAAAAUUUAAUCAUAAGGGCUUUAUAGAGAGAUUGCCGGCAAUGAGAUUCAAAUUUAAGUCUUAGUCUAGCGAAGAAAACGAUCAUUAUCACUCUCAAAAUUAGAACACCGUGCCAUAAUAAGUAAUUGAAAUUUAUUGAAUUAGCUAAGCUAGUUGCAUGUUAGUUAUCUCUUUACCAUUUCUUCGAAGUCGGGAAACGGAACCAUGAAGGGAAAGAAGGCCAAAUGUCAGUUAACUUUGUUGAGGUCGCCCACUACGCUUUUGUUUACUUGGCUCCGACGCGUGCGGGCUCGGAUUGCAGGACGUUUUCAAGAAACGAUACAGUAGAAUAGCGAUUUCGCAACCAUUUCAUAUACAAUUCACGGUGAGUGCGAUGCAUCAUCAGCUUUGUCAAUGCAUGACUUUUAUGGAUGUUUUUUUGUUCUGAAGUCCUACCAAAUGACAUGAUAACUGACACACUCCGACUGGAAUUAAGGCGUGAUGGCCGUCACGUGAAGGUGACGUAAUCAAAGUGCAAGUGAUGAAAGAAAAUUGUGAAUAAAUUAAAACCAAAACUAGGAAUUAAUUAAGGAAAACUAAUGAAAAUGGCUUGAAAACUUUGAGUGUUAACGAUAAGGACGAAAUAAAUGGUAAACUGAAUAGUACAAUGAUUGACUUUUCAGUGUAAAAAUGUGGUUUUUUUGUUAAAGUGAACAGUAUUGGGAACUUUUCGUUAAAGUUCCCAAUUAAUUAACUAAGAACGUGAGUGCGCAAUAGUGGUUACAACUCAUAACUACAAAUAUUCAGAGCAUAGAUAACAUGAGGGUAAAACAGUAGAACGAGAGAAAUACUUAUUACACAACUAGAGAUAAGUUCCUACGUUAAGAUGGAGAUAUGUCAUAAUCCACCAACUAUUCCUCGUACGCCACAUAGAUUAAUCAACUAACUAGGACAUGGAGGAGCGAAAAACAGAAGGGUGAGUGGGCACAAAAAUAAAGGUUUAUAAAAUCCAUUUACUUUUCAAUCAUACUAACUCCUCACUGUAAAACAAGUAUAAUUUUCAAAAUAUCAUACUAUGUAUAAGUAUGAAAAUCAAAUGCAUGCCAAAUGUAAGUCUAGAAGUAUGCCACAACAUAUGUUCUCAACAACAGUAUAGAUAUGAUUAUGUGCUGUAAAUUGUAAUUUACACUAAUCGGAGUCACCUAAUGUGACAUGUACAACUCCACCUAUCACUCAUCAGUCAUAUGCUAACACAGAAGUCGGAGUCACCUAAUGUGACCUAUACGACAUGACUAGGUGUAAUAAUAAUCGCUCUAGUGCUACGGUCACGUGAAGACUAGCACUAUGCUUGGGUCACCUACGAGUCGGAGUCACCUAAUGUGACUUGUACAACAGGACUAGCACCUACUUAGAUCCAUGGCAAGCGUGCGGUGCAGGAGAUAAACAUACACAUGAAGGACUAGCCCUGUCCUUGGGCUGGAGUACUAACACCGGGGUGUAGCAAUGAUGAGCAGACUAUAUGUAAGCAUGCCAUAAUGAUUCAACCAUUCAAUUCAUCACAUAACCUUACCUGGACUUACUUGCAUGUACCGCAUUCACAUUAGCAUUUCAAACCAUGCACAUCAAUUUCAUGCAGGUAAUAUGCAUAUGGAUAUGCCAUGAUCAUGGAAGAAAAUAUCGAUAAUAUCGGCGAUAUAUCGCCGAUAUUAUCGGUUUUUUCCCGAAUCGAUAUUUUAAAUGGUAUCCAAGGUGUUUUCGUCAUAAUAUCGCGAUAAUAUCGAUAAUAUCGCGAUAUUAUCGAUAUUAUCGCGAAAUUUCGGAACUGUGCACGUCGGAGACGAACGUCGGAGCUUCUACAGCUCCGGCCGACUGUAAAACUGCUCCCUAGCCUCGCCGGAGAUGGGUGUACUUAUUCCCGAGUCGAUUUCAUCCCAAAAACCUUGCAAAAACACGACAUAUAACUUCAAUUUCACAUCUAAGCUUCGAUCUAGAAUAUAAAAAGAAAAACCCGAAGCUUACCUACCUGAGAAAUUGAAGGAACUCGCCGGAGCAGGUGCGAUGGUGUGCGUGUGGGUCUCGGUGCAGAGAAAAGAGAGAUCUCUGUGUGAGUGUGUGUGGUUGGACUGGGAGAAGGGAGAAGAAAGAUCGAGAGAUCUCUGUGUGAGUGUGUGUGUGGUUGGACUGGGAGAAGGGAGAAGAGAGAUCGAGAAGGAUCUCUGUGUGAGUGUGUGUGUGGUUGGACUGGGCGAAGGGAGAAGAGAGAUCGAGAAGGAUCUCUGUGUGUCGUUGAAGAAUCCCCAACCUUUAAGAGACAAACCAGCAAGCACCUCCCUCGACCCACCUCGUUCCUCCGCCGCAAACCUACCACGUGUCCUCAUCCAACUUCUCUCCUCUGUCAACCCACCGCUGUUCCACUGUCAACUUCACCGGUAUUCCUCCGUCGGCCCCGCUUCCGCCUCGUCCUUCAAUCUCUCUCCUCCAUCGAAGUAGGUCCAUAAGAAUUCAUGAAAGGGAGGGGAUCUUUGUUCUUAGUGUAUAGUGUGACGACGCUGCACUGAUACAAAUCUGUGAUGGCAUAGGAAAAGACAAGGACGAUGCGGGAUGGAGCAGAGAGGAAGUGAAAAUGGAUUAUGGGGUGUUUGGAUGCCUAGGUAAUUGGAUAAACAGGGUGUUUGGCUGCAUAGCUUAAACAUAUAAAGUAGUACACGUGUUCUCUUUUAGUUGAGCCAUAUCAAUGGUCAAUGAAAAUUGGGUACCCACUUGUGAGUACCAAGUAUUAUCCGUGGACGGGAGACUUAAACAAACAAAACCAUUGGCUUUGAUGUUUGUAACUUGUAAUUAUGAGGUGGACAUGUGACGUGAAAGAUGUGAGGUGCACCUCUGAUGGUUUUAACUUUUAAUAAAUGUUAUAUAAAUUAUAAAUUAUAAAUUAUUUAGAUAAUAUUUUGUUUUUUUUACUAAGCAAGCAAAUUAUAUUCGAACCCUCCCUUUGUCAACCACGCACUUAGGCUUUAUCCAACUUGCUAUAGAUGUGUUUGUGAUUACAUAUUCAGCCUGUAAUAUUUAUAUGGUCGUUAAGAUGUCUGCAAGGCUUGCAAGCUAAUAUUUAUUAUCUAGGAUAAAUUUCUAUAUUUUAAAAAACACAAAGGUGAAAAUUUUGAACCUCAUAGGAACUCUAUGUGGUACUAAGUCACUCAUGUAUGUUACCAUGCAAUGUAUAAAGUGUAAAAUAUUGUACUAAUUCAUUAUAUAUAAAUGAUUAUGGUGUGUUUAGACUUCUUUCAUUAAUUACUACAUAUUUUAUACACUCACAAUGUUUGUCAGCUCACUAUAUAAUCAACUUGAUAAUGUUAAAUCCAUCAUGCAAUGCAUUUCCUUCCAAUUUUUUGUGAUAAACUAAUAGAUAAUUGACUAAAUAAACAUCCUGCAAAGUUUCAAUAAAAAUUUCCAAGUUUUUCUUACAAUUUCCGUGGUUUCCAUGUAAUUUUUAUCGAUAUCGAUAUUAUCCCGAUAUUUCCAUCGAUAUUUCCGUGUUUUCGGACUACCGAUAUUUCCGAUAUUACCGAUAUUUUCUUCCUUGGCCAUGAUGCAAUAAAAAACUCAACCAUGUCAUAGCAUUUAGAAAAAUAUAUAAUUCAUGGCAUAAAUGCAUAAAACCAUUUUAAAACAUUUAUGGAAACUAUGAGGUAUAUACAUAAUAUACAAAAAUAAAAUGCCCACUCACUGGUAUGUCAUAGGAUUGUAGACCCCUAGUCUCGCUUGUCCACAUACGUCCUCAGGGUAAGUUUCCCCUAUAUGCGAAACAACAAUUUAUAAUUAAUUAAUAAGGACAUACGCUAAAAACUAGGAAUAACUUCCCAUAAUUUGCUUAAACGGAGGGUUCGAAUAUAUGAAAUCAAUUUACUUGACGUCACAGACCUACACGUAAAAACCACUCGCUGGCCGAAGGCCAGACGCACCCUCAUGACCGCCCAACCCACAACCACACGUGCAGCCACGCAUAGGCAUGUGCAUGGUAGGUGACUAAUGGAACAUAGGAAUAUUUUGUCAGAAUUGACGGAAUAUUCUGUUAAAUAGUAAUGAACGUUAACAGCGUUACCUGACGUCAUUAGACGGAAUAUUCUCCUUCUUCUCCAGUCGCUCUUGCCGUUCACAACUUGAAUUUUCGCCGGAAACUGGAAAAUUUUCAAAUCUUUAUAUCUUGCUCAAUUCUCAACCAUUUUUCACGAAAUUUAUAUGGAUUUGAAGCUCAUGAUGAAGGGAACAAAAUCAUACCAUUUGAAAGUCGAAAAACGAUCAGAGAUUGGCCUGAAAAUAGCUCAAUAGCUCCGGCCAAAAAGUCAACCUCUUGAACUCGCUUGUUUCGACUUCAAUGCUUCACGAAAACUAGUCUAGGGACCUUAGGGAGUUGCGUGGAUGCUUCCAAAACCUUCAAAACUUGGUAACUCGACCGCGAUCAUGUUGACACAAAAACCAUCGAGUCGAAGCUUUCGAGUUGCUCUUUGUUGAUGCACAAAACCGAAGGUCUUGGAAUAACGUAAAUCCGACCGUGAAUCUGCAAGAAAGUAAAGAACACAAGAUGUAUCGUGGUUCACCCCAAUGUUUGAGCUACGUCCACACUAAUGUUGAUAUUGUUUCACUCUGAAUGGUGAAUACACAAGAAGACUAGAGGCAGUGUGCUCUCUAGCCUAUUUUUUGUGUGCUCUCUUCCCAUGGCCUAAAACUUGGCCUCCCUUAAUGAGGAGAGUGAGGAGUCCUUUUAUAGAAUAAGGGCUCCUCACUUAUUACAUAUUCGCCCCUUCAUUUAUUACAUAAUUACAUUUGAGUCCCCCGAGUAUUUAUACGAGGUCUAAAUACGGAAGCCCUAAGUAUGGUACAAACACUCUUCGUUGACCACUCAAAACUCAACCAACACGUGAUCUGAGGGUAUGGUUAAGUUCGUGGUGACGAGAAGAGUCCAAAUAUGUGGUUUUCAGGUUCGAUCUAUUAAGAGAUGGUGGUGGUCUUCUUUGUUGCAGAGAAGAGCGAGGUACGGGUUUGAGAGAGAAAAGGAGAUGAGAGAGAGAAAUGAUGGUUUUUGAUUAAGCAGAGAGAAGGAGAGUCUGAUUGGGUGCCAGAAAGAGGGAAGAAGAUUGAUUGGUGAAAAACAUAAGGCACAUACCAAAUUUUAAAGAAGUAGAAGGAUAGGUUUUUACAGAUUUCCCACAGUAAAAGCAAAUCAGAAAAUCUAUUCGGAAUAGUGUUUCUAACACAGAUAAAAUUAACGUACACUCGUAACAACGAGUACAAUUUAUUACGAUAGCGAGAAUACUAAUUUAAGAGCUAAUAAAUACGUCCACGUCACUUGCUAACAAGGGCAUAAACAAUAAUUUACAUAUUCGGGGAGAAAUUACAUAGAAAAUUAGGGACGGGUCGUCACAAUAACUCUAACAACUACUCACAAGAAAUAUAUAUAUAUAUAUAUUUAUUUAUUUAUUUUUAAAUGAAAUUAUCUACCCUAAGAGAAAGGGAUGGGUUUAGUAUCACAAUGAGCUAGCAAUAGUGUGGUUCAAAUUCGCCUUUGACAAGAAUCAAACCUAAAAUCUCUCACUUACAAGUAAAGAGGAAUACCAUUAGAUCAUAGUAUUAAGUGGCAAUAUGAACAAGAAAUAUUAAAAUAUGUUUGAUUAUUAUUUUUAAACUCUGGAGUUUUAUUUAAAGGAAAACUAAUGAAAAGAGUUUGAAAACUUUGAGUUUUAAUGAUAAGGACAAAAUAAAGGGUAAAAUGAAUAGUACCAGGAUUGACUUUUUAGUGUAAAAAUGUGGUUUUUCGUUAAAGUGAACAGUACCGGGUGCUUUUCGUUAAAGUUCCCUUUAUUUAAUUUAAAAGCUAAAAAUUUAUUUAAUAACUAAUUUGAAUUUUUUAAAGAAUAAAAAUUAAAAGUCAAAAUUUAAAACUUAAAGAAUUAAAAGAAAAAAAACUUAAAGAAUUAGCUUUAAAAAACUGCAUAAUUGAAAGUAGUUAUCUAAUAAAUUUCUAAUUUUUAAAAAGACAAAACAAAAAUUGAAAGUGAAAUGAUAAUCAAUUGGCCUUGUAGCUUUCAGUUUUCAUAUUUUAGAAUAGAAAACUGAAAGCAGUUACCAAAAGAUUUUUAGUUUUAAAAAAUAACUACAAACAAAAAUUAAAUAUGAAAUGAUUAUAAAAUGGUCCCUCAACGUUCUAAAGGCCAACUUGGCUAAACAAGUUGCGACCAUAGUGGUGGGUUUGACAGUGAAAAAUGUACGAGAAGAAGCAAACGAGUGUAUCUAAACUCAAAAGGUCGAGAUUGCACUCAUGAUGAAAUAGUCAAACACUUCAGUAAUUAUACACACAAAAAUUGCAAUAUAACAAACAUAAAGACACUAUUUGACAAUAAGUAGUGCUGGCUUGAAGAGGAACUAGCAAUGAACCAACUAGUGUCUACCUAUGUCAAUUUUGUUCGCAACAUCUAUCAAGAACAGUGAAGUAGACCCAAGAGAUGCCAAUAACACACCAACGCAAAACUAAAAAUACUCACUAGGAGAGACUUACAAAAAACAACCUCACCAAGAAGCCUCUUAUUGACUUUAAUAUUAAAAUGAAAAAUAAAUCUACGACAGUCCAGAAGAAGAGAAAAUAGUAAAGCUAGGAGAGGGGAGAGAGGGGCUGUCACCGGCCACUAGCUGGAGCAAGGAGUCAUUUGUAGGUGAGAGGAGAGAGAGGCUAGCAGCAGUUUCUCAUAUCUUAGCAUUCCAAGAGUCCAUGCUUUCGAGUUAUAGUGACAAAAGAUAAAGCAAAAACAAUUGUAAUUUAAACAAGGUCUUUGUGCAGAAAAUUGACGACGUCCACAAUUGUUCAUCAAAAUUUCUGAUUGCUGGCCAGGUCCUAUAGUAGAGAAAAUGAAUAUCGACUAUUGCCAUGAUUUGGUGGAACUGCCUGCCGAGCUCUGUGAUCUUGUUCAUAUGAAGAUGCUCAGUAUCACCAACUGCCAUAAGUUAUCUGCCUUGCCUGAAGAGAUCGGAAAGCUGGAGAAUUUGGAUGUACUGCGACUAAGGUCCUGUACAGACUUGGUAAGGCUUCCGGUCUCGAUUGAGAACCUUGCUAAGUUGUGCUGUCUUGACAUGUAUGAUUGUUUUGGCAUUAGGAAGUUGCCUGAAGGCAUUGGUAAUAUGAGCGGUUUAAGAAAGAUCUACAUGGGACAAUGCUCAAGAUUGAAAGAGUUGCCUCUGUCAGCGUGGGAUCUUGACGAGCAGUUAGAGGAAGUGAUUUGUGAUGAAGAGAAGAAACAUUUGUGGGAAUCCUUCUUAGCCAGAGACAAAAUCAAGGUGGCAAAAGAAAAACCAAUCUGAAUUGGCUCGGAAAGCCUCAGUUGUGAGACCUGUCUUUCCUCAAUAAAUGAAGGAGCAACGCCAAUCUGAAUUAGCUUUCAUCUUCUUGUUUGAUUUUUCUUGUUUGAUUUCGUUCUUUGGUUCUGUUCAAUUUCUAUGUUUCAUCACAUCAGUUUGUAAGACUAUUUAUAUCAAACUCUCGCGUCUCAAGAAAUUUCGUGUUAUUUUUUCUUGUGUAAUUAUCAUGUUAUUGUUUUACACAAUAUAAAUCAUGUGUAUUAUAUUUUCUUGGAUUGUACAAAAAAUACGUUUUUACUGCACCUCAUAUGUCAAUUUUUUUUUAUUUUUUAUGGGGCUCAUAUGUAAAUCAUGCAUCUGGUUAUAUCUAUAAGUUUUCUUUCGUUGCUUACUCUGGUAUAGAUAUUAGGGUAAUGCUAGAGAUAUUAAAUUUGGAGACAAAAUUUGGAAACUAAAUAAUGUAUCACCAAUAAAAAUGAGCACGUUUAUCAACGGUUAAGUAAUAAAUCAAUUAUCAACUUACAUAUCAUUUAAUUUUUAAAAUUUUAUCUACAUAUUUAGUCUUUCUAGCAUUACUCUAGAUAUUAUAUAUUAAGAUAUUUUAAGAUGUAGUUUACCAUAUUUUAAUUUAAUGCAUGCAUAUAAUCGAUAUGCCAUUUAUAUGCUACUACAGUUGAUAUUGUCGAUAUUGCAAAGUUAAAAUUUUCAAAAUAUGAUCAGUAGUGCUCGAAGAGCAGUUUACUGCAACGUAGAAAGAAUGGUUAAAAUUUGAGGAAAAUGAUCAUCGUGAAUCCUUUUCUUAGGGAUUUCGUGAUCGGGAUCGUUCAUUGUACAUCGUGCAGUCAGUUUUCGUUAUGUGCUAUUUAUAUUUAAUUUUAAAUUUUAAAAUAAUUUCUAACCGAACUAUAUACGAUGGACCGCUUCGAUCAUGGGAUCUCCAGGAUCUCCAGAAAAGAGUUCCGUAGAGGAUUCUUUUCCAAAAUUGAUAUUUAUUGCUCAUCGGUUCGUGGUUAAAUAUUGACCGUUUAUUGCUCAUCUUUAUGCUUUUGUCUCCUUUCGAAAGUUGGUUUCACAAUUUAAUAAUAUGUUAGGUGGGUUCUCUCUUUCACUGUGAAAGAUUCCCACACACGAUGCAGUUUCGUGGUGACUUUCCAAGUCUCCCUCCACACUCCAACUCGGAAAUUUCCCAGACAUGGUGGUGCAGCUACUGUUGAAGUCAACGCGCUCCAGCCCCGAAAUUUCUAUCGAGCUUCAAUAGUAAGUAUUUAUAUUGCUUGAUCUCCAACAACGAAAGAGAAAAUCCUAACUUUGUAUUGCUUGUUUUCUUAAUCUCUUUAUUUUGGAAACCAAAUUUAUGUGGCUCACUUUUCUACAGUUUCUAAUCCGUUAUUGUUUUGGGAAAGUGGCUAUGGUCCGAAAUCAAAUCUCAAAUUCUCAAUUCUUAUAAAGUAUCGGCGACAUACUGAAAACUGAUAAUUUCCGCAAUGGGGUGAAAAAUGAUCGUUUCGGCCAAUUUUCCUCUACUUUUGUAAGUUUUUUCUGAUUUUGGUGUUGGUUUUUGUUGUUAAGAAUCAAGGAAUGAAUGGAGCAGGCGGCCUUAUCGGCGGGGCUGCUCUCGGAACAGCGUUCAAUGUGCUGUAUGAUGUCCUCGAUGAGCUGAUUACCAAGAAUGUAAUUUUUAAGCCCCUCCUCAAAGAGAUCAAAUCCAGGUUAGACUCUUUGGCACCAUUGUUGAAAGAUAUAGAAAAAUCCAACAAGAAAUUGGAUCUAUCGGAUAAGGAACUGGUAAACUUGAAAGAACAUUUGGAGGAGGGCGUAGAGGUCGUUCAGAAGUGCAAAAAGGUUCGAUGGUGGAGCGUGUACAAAAGAUACAAAUACGCCAACAGGCUGAUUGACUGGGAUGGAUCUCUUCAACGACUUUUGGAAAUACUAAACGUUCAGGGAAUAAGGGAUAUGAAGGACAGCUCCCUUUCGGUGAGGAAUAUAGAGAAUGCGCUCAGCAGAAUUGAAUCGAAUAUGGUGAUACCAAAACAACCCGACAGUGAAGCUUGGUGUGCAGUACCUCAACUUCCGCCGCUUGUGGUUGGAUUGGAUGUUCCUCUAAGGGAGUUGAAGAGGAUUCUUCUAAAGGACCAAAAUGUUUCAAUGGUUGUGCUGACUGCUCCCGGAGGAUGUGGGAAAACUACUUUGGCUACAAAGUUUUGUCAAGACACGGAUGUCAAAGGUAUCAUAUAUUAUACGUUAGCACUCGGAAUUGUAUGUGUUUUUUUUUUCUUUGUACAACUAUGGCAGAUUUAAAUGACCCCUCAAUGACAGACUUGUUAUGUUUAUUUUGAAUAGAUACAUUCAAGGAUAAUAUCUUCUUCGUCACGGUUUCGAAAAAGCCUAAAU